Molecule: ribosomal RNA, 596 nt
Filed under: uncultured bacterium
Lineage: Bacteria
Description: bacterial SSU rRNA
Rfam family: Bacterial small subunit ribosomal RNA
Source: RNAcentral
ACCUACCUCAUACUCGGGGAUAGCCUUUCGAAAGAAAGAUUAAUAUCCGAUAGCAUAUAUUUCCCGCAUGGGUUUUAUAUUAAAGAAAUUCGGUAUGAGAUGGGGAUGCGUUCCAUUAGUUUGUUGGGGGGGUAACGGCCCACCAAGACUACGAUGGAUAGGGGUUCUGAGAGGAAGGUCCCCCACAUUGGAACUGAGACACGAUCCAAACUCCUACGGGAGGCAGCAGUGAGGAAUAUUGGUCAAUGGACGAGAGUCUGAACCAGCCAAGUAGCGUGAAGGAUGAAGGUCUUACGGAUUGUAAACUUCUUUUAUAAGGGAAUAAAACCUCCCACGUGUGGGAGCUUGUAUGUACCUUAUGAAUAAGCAUCGGCUAACUCCGUGCCAGCAGCCGCGGUAAUACGGAGGAUGCGAGCGUUAUCCGGAUUUAUUGGGUUUAAAGGGAGCGCAGACGGGUCGUUAAGUCAGCUGUGAAAGUUUGGGGCUCAACCUUAAAAUUGCAGUUGAUACUGGCGUCCUUGAGUGCGGUUGAGGUGUGCGGAAUUCGUGGUGUAGCGGUGAAAUGCUUAGAUAUCACGAAGAACUCCGAUUGCGAA